RNAcentral lists this ribosomal RNA (463 nucleotides) under uncultured bacterium. RNAcentral's name for it is "partial 16S ribosomal RNA". It matches the Rfam family "Bacterial small subunit ribosomal RNA", at positions 28 to 507 of the family's 1533-position model. The record is from RNAcentral.
GACGAACGCUGGCGGCGUGCUUAACACAUGCAAGUCGAACGGAAAGGCCCUGCUUUUGUGGGGUGCUCGAGUGGCGAACGGGUGAGUAACACGUGAGUAACCUGCCCUUGACUUUGGGAUAACUUCAGGAAACUUGGGCUAAUACCGGAUAGGAGCUCCUGCUUCAUGGUGGGGGUUGGAAAGUUUCGGCGGUUGGGGAGGGACUCGCGGCUUAUCAGCUAGUUGGUGGGGUAGUGUCUUACCAAGGCGAUGACGGGUAGCCGGUGUGAGAGGAUGAUCGGCCACACGUGGACUGAGACACGGCCCAGACGCCGACGGGAUGAAGCAGUGGGGAAAAGUGGACAAUGGGCGAAAGCCGGAUCCAGCAAUGCCGCGUGAGGGAUGAAGGCAUUAGGGGGGAAAAGCCCUUGUACCAGGGAGUAUAAUGACAGCACCGGGAGAAGAAGCGCCGGCUAGCUCCGGG